AUCCUUUUGUGAUUCAUAAACAUGCUAACUGGGUUUUCCUCUCCCACAAGCCUUGCUAAUACCUGGGCACAUUACACAUUUGAUG
RNAcentral lists this small nucleolar RNA (85 nucleotides) under Dipodomys ordii (Ord's kangaroo rat). RNAcentral describes it as "Small nucleolar RNA U13". It matches the Rfam family "Small nucleolar RNA U13". The record is from Rfam by way of RNAcentral. Lineage: Eukaryota; Metazoa; Chordata; Mammalia; Rodentia; Heteromyidae.